RNAcentral lists this ribosomal RNA (312 nucleotides) under Triticum aestivum (bread wheat). Its description in RNAcentral is "partial small subunit ribosomal RNA". The record is from RNAcentral. Lineage: Eukaryota; Viridiplantae; Streptophyta; Magnoliopsida; Poales; Poaceae.
AUGUAUCACGUCUGCGAAAUUUCAUCGCCUAAAAGAAUCGGCCUCCUGGAUUUCUCUAUUUUGCCUUGGGCAAAUGCCACCGCGGUGAAAGGUUGGUGGACUGAUACAGUGAACAAUACAAGACCGCACUGGAAAGCUCUCACUUCGCUGAUUAUGUUGGUAUCUUGGGAGAUUUGGAAGGAACACAAUGCGAGAGUUUUCCGUAACACCGCCGCACCCACCAUGUUAAUUGUCGAGAGGAUCAAGGAAGAGGCCCAUCUUUGGGCUCUAGCGGGUGCGAAAUACUUGAGUAAUGUAAUGCCUCGAGAGUAG